Non-coding RNA from Pelodiscus sinensis (Chinese soft-shelled turtle), 371 nucleotides. Lineage: Eukaryota; Metazoa; Chordata; Testudines; Trionychidae. The record is from RefSeq and is a predicted model, not a curated record.
AAUACUGAGAGUGGCCACUGAGGGCAGCAGCAGCAUCAAGAGUGUGGUCAGCAGGGCUUGAGCGCCACCAUCUUGCCUACCUCCAGACUGGAAAGAAACAGUUGGACCUGUUUGACAUUGGGCCAGAACUGUUCUCGGCACAUCUGAUACUGAUGGCAACAGAUGUAGGAUUUCUGAAGCUGCAGUAUUAUAGAAGUUUUUGGAUAAGCUUAUGUGAUACCAUCUUUGAUGAAGAAAUCUAUAGACCAGUUCCGUGUCAGAAGACGGCAAACCUUCGCUAUGCCGACGCCAAGCUAAGACGGCAGUAAACAUGAAAUCAACAUCAACUGAAAUGGCAGAGAUUCCUAGAAUGCUUUAAAAUACUUAAAAAC